UACAGAGGGUGCGAGCGUUACUCGGAAUUACUGGGCGUAAAGCGUGCGCAGGCGGUGAUGUAAGCCAGAUGUGAAAUCCCCGGGCUCAACCUGGGAACUGCAUUUGUGACUGCAUCGCUGGAGUGCGGCAGAGGGGGAUGGAAUUCCGCGUGUAGCAGUGAAAUGCGUAGAUAUGCGGAGGAACACCGAUGGCGAAGGCAAUCCCCUGGGCCUGCACUGACGCUCAUGCACGAAAGCGUGGGGAGCAAACAGG
RNAcentral lists this ribosomal RNA (253 nucleotides) under uncultured bacterium. RNAcentral describes it as "partial 16S ribosomal RNA". It matches the Rfam family "Bacterial small subunit ribosomal RNA", at positions 524 to 776 of the family's 1533-position model. The record is from RNAcentral.